AAUCAUUUUCCUUAGUGUGUUUAAAAUGAUGGAUGAUUUCAGCUUAACUGGAGUUUUUUGAUUCUCUGAUUUUAAUUGAAGUGUGACUAUAAGUCAGAUUUUAUAACUACUACCACAGCUGUCUCUCUAAUUUUGAAAUUACAUCUUUACUUUAAAGGCUUGGAGUAAAUACAUUAAAAAUCAUUUCCCAAGAUAUUUUAUUUUAUAUAGUUAGUGUGAUAUGGUUUAUUUUGUAUAAAUAAGAUUGGAUUUAACUUCAUAGUUUUGCAAACAUCAAUGUUAUUUGUAUAGAAAUAUACUUCAAAGACUAGUAGAAAGGUAUUAAUGGUUUUUGUG
RNAcentral lists this long non-coding RNA (336 nucleotides) under Pan troglodytes (chimpanzee). RNAcentral describes it as "long non-coding RNA NONPTRT003026". The record is from RNAcentral. Lineage: Eukaryota; Metazoa; Chordata; Mammalia; Primates; Hominidae.